RNAcentral lists this ribosomal RNA (425 nucleotides) under uncultured bacterium. Its description in RNAcentral is "bacterial SSU rRNA". It matches the Rfam family "Bacterial small subunit ribosomal RNA", at positions 356 to 773 of the family's 1533-position model. The record is from RNAcentral.
AGGGAAUCUUCCGCAAUGGACGAAAGUCUGACGGAGCAACGCCGCGUGAGUGAUGAAGGUUUUCGGAUCGUAAAACUCUGUUGUUAGGGAAGAACAAGUACGAGAGUAACUGCUCGUACCUUGACGGUACCUAACCAGAAAGCCACGGCUAACUACGUGCCAGCAGCCGCGGUAAUACGUAGGUGGCAAGCGUUGUCCGGAAUUAUUGGGCGUAAAGCGCGCGCAGGCGGUCUUUUAAGUCGGAUGUGAAAGCCCACGGCUCAACCGUGGAGGGUCAUUGGAAACUGGGAGACUUGAGUGCAGAGGAGAAGAGUGGAAUUCCAUGUGUAGCGGUGAAAUGCGUAGAGAUAUGGAGGAACACCAGUGGCGAAGGCGACUCUUUGGUCUGUAACUGACGCUGAGGCGCGAAAGCGUGGGGAGCAAAC